RNAcentral lists this ribosomal RNA (314 nucleotides) under uncultured bacterium. RNAcentral's name for it is "partial 16S ribosomal RNA". It matches the Rfam family "Bacterial small subunit ribosomal RNA", at positions 499 to 809 of the family's 1533-position model. The record is from RNAcentral.
UUAUAAGAGACAGCAGUCGCCACGGUAAUGCGAAGGGGGCUAGCGUUGUUCGGAAUUACUGGGCGUAAAGCGCACGUAGGCGGAUAUUUAAGUCAGGGGUGAAAUCCCAGAGCUCAACUCUGGAACUGCCUUUGAUACUGGGUAUCUUGAGUAUGGAAGAGGUGAGUGGAAUUCCGAGUGUAGAGGUGAAAUUCGUAGAUAUUCGGAGGAACACCAGUGGCGAAGGCGGCUCACUGGUCCAUUACUGACGCUGAGGUGCGAAAGCGUGGGGAGCAAACAGGGUUAGAUACCCGAGUAGUCCCUGUCUCUUAUAA